UGAAUUGAAUCAGUUACUUAACACUAACUUGAAUGUAAGAGAAACUAUGGCUUUCAAAAUAUUUUGGAAAUAACAGUAUACAACUGCCAUUGCAACAUUUCUGAUGACGUAAAUGAAAAAACCAUGUAUUGUAAUGCAUUUUGAGAAGAAUAUAUGACAUACAAUACUUGAUAUGUUGAUAUUUACAGUAGUUUGUCUAUAAUUAUCAUCUUGUACAUUAAUUACAUACUAAUCUGUGAUCUAAUGAAUAAUGUCUUACAUUAAGUAAGACAAUAUAUGUUGUUUACAAAUCCUUUUUUUCCCCCCAUGAAUCUCGUCCAUACCCUUAUUGAUAACAGUACGGAUCCCUUGUAUGGAUGUGUAUCAUAAAGUCAUUACCUUCUUUAUGUUUUCAUUUCUGCAUAGCAUAGUGAAGAAAAAACUCAAGAGAAGCUACACACCACAAUGAAUUGGUGUCUAAGGGUCCCUAAUUAUCGAUCACAGAAAUAAUCUGAUAACUAAUCUUAGGUUUUUUCAUGUGCAUUAAUGAAUGAAUAAUGCAGUAAGAUCUUGCUUGUCUGUCAACAGGUAGAAGCCAUCUCAGCAGUAGUUGCCACACAGAUUCUGUUAGGCAGACAAAGAGACCUGAAAUCGAAGAGCCGAUUUCUUCGUCAUGAGAUACUAUUACUUCCUUACAACGCACCAAAUCACUGGGUUCUUGCAAUAGCACUGAUGGGUACACAAGAACUGCUAAUAAUUGAUCCAUUGUGUGAAGAGAUGAGCUAUGAAAGAAAAUUUCUUAGAAACUGGAGAAACUUCAUCAAAGUAGAAGAGCGCCAAUCAUCAUCAAAUUAGAAGUCUAAUUAUUAGCCAUAAUAGACAAAUUGAUGGGCACAACUGCGGACCAUUCAUCAUAAAGUUUGCAGAAACGUAUUUGCAGCUGAAAGACAUCAGGUCUGUGGACAUAUCAGAGGAGGCAAAAAAUGAGUUUAGAUGACACAUAGCAAUUCUCCUAAUGAAGGAGUCAGAAAGCAUAGAAGAAUUCUGCAUAUAUUGCAAUAGGAUCAAUUGUGAAAAGAAAAGUGAGGAAUGCACUAUGGUCCAGUGUGAUUCCUGCAAGAGGUGGGUACAUAUGCCGUGCAUUCCGGAAGGAACCAAUGAAGAAAUGAUCAAUGAUGAGAAGACAGAAUGCAAGUGCCAAAAAUGUUCUUAGUGCAGUUCUACUUCAUAAAGCUGACAAGAUGUGUAAAUAGAUUUUGAUACCAUGAAAUAAUAAACUUUUAAAAUAUGAA
Molecule: non-coding RNA, 1271 nt
Organism: Pelodiscus sinensis (Chinese soft-shelled turtle)
Lineage: Eukaryota; Metazoa; Chordata; Testudines; Trionychidae
Source: RefSeq, a predicted model, not a curated record